Molecule: ribosomal RNA, 467 nt
Filed under: uncultured bacterium
Lineage: Bacteria
Description: partial 16S ribosomal RNA
Rfam family: Bacterial small subunit ribosomal RNA
Source: RNAcentral
CUACGGGUGGCAGCAGUGGGGAAUAUUGGACAAUGGGGGAAACCCUGAUCCAGCAAUGCCGCGUGUGUGAAGAAGGCCUGCGGGUUGUAAAGCACUUUCGGUUGGGAGGACUGCUUCUAGCACUAAUAUUGUUGGAAGUUGACGUUACCUUCAGAAGAAGCACCGGCUAACUCCGUGCCAGCAGCCGCGGUAAUACUGGAGGGUGCAAGACGUUAAUCGGAAUUACUGGGCGUAAAGCGCGCGUAGGCGGCUAGAUCAGUCGGGUGUGAAAGCCCCGGGCUUAACCUGGGAACUGCAUCCGAUACUGUCUAGCUUGAGUAGAGGAGAGGAGAGUGGAAUUCCACAUGUAGCGGUGAAAUGCGUAGAUAUGUGGAGGAACACCAAUGGCGAAGGCAGCUCUCUGGCCUGAUACUGACGCUGAGGUGCGAAAGCGUGGGGAGCAAACAGGAUUAGAUACCCGAGUAGUC